This is a long non-coding RNA of Octodon degus (degu), 927 nucleotides long. RefSeq lists it as uncharacterized. The record is from RefSeq and is a predicted model, not a curated record. The transcript has 3 exons. NCBI's taxonomy places the organism in Eukaryota, Metazoa, Chordata, Mammalia, Rodentia, Octodontidae.
UCACAGACUGCAUCAAAGGGUGAGCUGCCAACCCCUAUUUAGCAACCUGCAUGAAGCAACAGUUUUGUUCCAGCCUGACAGAAACUUUGUGUUGCAGAAGAUAGUACAGGAGGGAGCCUCAGAACAACUGGCACUUUCACAGAAGGCUCGGUUGUGCGCGGCUCCAUGACAUCCAUUUCAGCUUCUGGAAGUCACUGGCCAAAUGCCGAGUUCUAUUAUGGAAUGUAAAGGAUACAGAUUGACAGCACCUGAGAACUUGGGACUCCAGACACCAGGAGAAGCACAGCACAGAUGAGAACUGCGACAGCCCGAUCAUGCCUGCCAAAGCACCAGCACAGCUCCUUUCUUGAUACCAUCUACACGGUGGGGGCCAUCUGUUCUACAGUGCUGCCACUCUUCCCUUUGUGAGCUAGUGAGCAGAAGGGGGAGAUGGCCCCAUCCCCCAUCAACCAUUUCCCCAAAUGCAGUUAAGCUGCGGUCUGGAAUUCGCAUCUGACCAGGAGCCAGUCAGCAUCACCUGAUGGUUUUAAAAAGCCAGAGAAGGUAGACAGAUGUUGAUACAAUGUUCUAGCAGCUUCCUCUGCCUGGAUCAUGGGCCAAAUAUGCUGAUAAAGAAUGUGCCUAGCUCUCCUAAGACCUGCACUUGUAUGGGAAGGAGGAAAAAGCAAAGCCAGAAUUGCCUGCUUGGAUAGAGGCGUUUGCAGUGCCAAAGUGCUGGGAGAUCAGAAGACAGAAGAAAACUCUGCCGUCUGACAGAUGUGCCCUAACGGAGAAAAAUAAAGGUGAAACAUGAGCAUGAAGAACACGGCACAGCACAUCCUUCCAUCAGUCAGCCCUGUUGACUGCUGGCGCCUGUGGUGCAGUCUUUGUGAGUGGAUCAAAGGCCAGUGCGCCAAGAAACGUGGAAGGCAAGUUGCAGGUCUCCCU